Molecule: long non-coding RNA, 8976 nt
Organism: Marmota monax (woodchuck)
Lineage: Eukaryota; Metazoa; Chordata; Mammalia; Rodentia; Sciuridae
Exons: 8
Source: RefSeq, a predicted model, not a curated record
AGUACCUUGAGCCUCAGAGAAGACUUUGCAUUAGAACUUUGAGCAAAUUCAGAACUGUUGAGACUAUGGGGACACUUGGAAAUGGGCUAAAUGUAUUUUUUAUUAUAAGAUAAGCUUGAGGGGGGGACAUGGGUGAAAUGUUAUGGUUUAGAUAUGGUGUCCCCCCAAGUUUCAUGAGAGAUAGUGCAAAAGAGGUUUGGAGGAGAAAUGAUUGGGUUAUAGCCUUAACCUAAACCCUGAUGGGAUUAACCAAGUGGUAACUGGGUCAGGUGGGGUGUGGCUGGAGGAAGUUGUUCAUUAAGGGUGUGGCUAUGGUGUAUACAUUUUGUAUUGGAAUAGUGUAUUCUCUCUCUCUCUCUCUCUCUCUCUCUCUCUCUCUCCUCCCUGAUCACCAUGUGAGCUGCUUUCCUGUGCCAAAAUCUUCUGCCAUGAUGUCCUGCCUCACCUUAAGCCCUAAGGAAUGGAUUAGCCUUCUAUGGACAAAGACCUCUGAAACCAAAGGGAAUAAGAAAAUGAUGAUGAAGAAGAAGGAGGAGGAGGAGAAGGUGGAAGAUGAGGAGGAAGAGGAGAAAGAAGGAGGAAGAAGAGAAAGAGGAGGAGAAAGAAGAGAAAGAGAUAAUCAAAUUCCACAAUACCCUUUGAUGGCAUGCUCCAGUGAGAUAAGUAACCAAAAAUUUAACAUAUGGUCCUUUGUAAGACCUUUAAAGUCUAAAUUAUAGCAGCAAGACAUAUGAAUUCUAUUUGAUUAGUGUCUUUUGUGAAUUUGAAAAAAUGAAAAUGUUACAUGCAUGGAAAGCAGUGAUUCUAAAAUGUGAUUUACAAUACUGAAUGUAGGAACAAAAAAUAGUAGAAUAAAGUGAAAUGUACAUCACAGCCAAUUUGAACUCAUUCUAGGGAUUUUAAAAAAAUCUUUAUUAUAAAAUGAUCAAUUGGUAUAACUCAUCAGAUUAAUAACAAAAAGAAGAAGAAUUAUAUAAUUUCCUUAAUAAAUAUAAGGAGAUAUUUGAUAAAAUUAUAAAUCAUUUAUUAAUGACAUUUAGCAUGUAGAAAUAGAGGAGAACUGUUUUUGUGGAUAAAAUUUAUCCACAAAAAUUAUAGUUUGCAACAAUGGCUUUAAUGGUGAAUUACUUUAAGACUUUUAUUCAAAAUUCAACAUGGAACCAGAUAUUGUUAUCUAAUAUAAGAAAGCAAGAUAAAUUAAGUAGGAAUUAUACAAUAAAAAAGAAAUAGUUGAACAUUAAAGCAUUUUUAUAUCCAUGUAUCAGUGGUAAUUGGAAAAAAUAAAAUAAAAGGUACUUUUGACAAUGGCAUAAAAACAUGAAGUGCUUAGAAAUAAAUCUAAAAAAAAAAUUAUAGGAUCUAUCCCAACAUCUUCACCAAAUAUGUCUGAGAGAAAUUGAAAGACAAUAGAGUAUAUGGGAAAGCAUCCCAUAUUCCUGAUUUUGAAGACUACUAUUGGCAAAGAUAUGAAUUCUGUCCCAAUUGGUCCAUAGAUUUAGUAUAAUCCUAAUUAAAACUCCCCCUGUAUUUUAUUGUGAAUUGGCAAGGUGGCUCCAUGAUAUAUUUUAAAGGACUAGAAAUAGACAAGUCAAUUUUAAUUAGGAUCAAACUGGGAGUAUUAACCCUACCACAUAUUAAAAUUUGAUACAAAGAUAUAAUAAUUUUCUGACAUUUUUUAUUGCCCCUGGAGUCCAAGAGAUCCUCAAAAUACUAAUUAUUACUCAGAACCAAACCCAUUUCCAAGCCUCCUCAGAUUUCCUCUCCUGAAACAAGCAUACCAACCAAACCACGCUAAACCACAACCAACUGUAUCAAAGCAAAUAGUGUAAAAAUAAAAUAAAACUCCAACAUAACAAGUUCCAUAGUUCUGAGUUUCCUAUUUCUAUUUUAUUUAUGGUUUAUCAAUAUCAUUUGCUUUCCAGUAUCUUGGAAUGUCUCAACUCUCAAAGACCAAUUUUAAAAUUUUCUGGGAAUUAUUUUCUGUAUCUCUAGAAACAAUGUAGGGAGUUUAUCCAGAGUAACCCACUGAAGACUGAUUAGGGGAGACCAAGACUUUUGAAUCAUCUUUGUAGAGCCUUCUAGAGAUUAAACAUCUAUGUCAAACAGCCUUAGCAAUUUACCAGUAAAGUUGUGAGGCAGUUGUUUCCCCAGCAAAAUUUUUGCAAUAUUUUUAAAAUACUAGACUCAUAACCCCAAUCCCUUUUGGGACUUCUUUUAAAAAAUGAAGUAGAAAUAAGAAAGGUGGAAUCCAUGGAUUAGGUACAAGUUGAAACUGAACAUUUAGGGCAUCUCAACAAGCACCAAAUCAAUUAUAUUGCUUUUUCUACUCUUCACUUACAAACCAUCUGGGGCUGUCAUGUAGCCUCAGCCUCUCUUUAAGCACUGUCAAGAAGGAAUUGUCCAGAUUGUCAAGAACACAUGCCUUACACUGCUCCUACAACAUUUGUAUGAGGAAUGCGGCUCGUACAACAAUGGGUGAAAUUAUAUAGUGUUCAGGAAGUCCGUAAGUAUGAGCAGCCCCAGGAUAACAUAAAUGUUUAUAAAGCAUCGUCAGCAGUUAGAAAUUUCACACCUUUGUCCACCAAGCACCUAAUUUAUUUUUGAUUUCUUUAAAUUUUUCUUUAGUAUUACAUUCCCAAUGUCAGACUAUUUUCAGACCCUAGAAUAUAUUUUGGUCUUUUCAGAUUUCAGAAAUCUUACCUACAUUUGCAGAUGCUUCUCUUGUACCCUUGGCAGAUCUUUAGAAACUCAGUCAUUAAAAAUUGUUUUCUUUCAUCAUUACAGAAGGGACAAAGAUGGGCAUGAGGGGGAAUUCACAAUGAUUUCAAAUGGUAGAUGGCAUUUUAGGUAUCAGUAAUUAGAGUAAUUAAAUUGCAGCUCACAUUAUUUCACAUAUCUGAGUACUCUUGAGAAUUUUGUUUGACUAAUAACUGUCAAUGCGCGUACUAAACACAAAAAUAUAGCUCCUGAUCUCAUAAAGCAACCAGCUAGCCUGACUUGAUAGAUGAAUAAAUAUCCAUGCAUUCUAAUUUUAAGGAAAAAAAACUUGGAAAUGAUACAUUAUUCUAGGUUAAAAAAUCAGAACUUUUUUUUAUAAUACAUCAUUCAGAUAUGAACUCAAAUCUUUGCACUUACUCAUGUUUAUGAACUCCCAAGGAUGUUCAUUUAAUCUUGAUCAUAUUGAUUCUCUAUCAUCCUUUUUAUUCCAGUGUAUUGUUAUUCUAAGGAAAUAUUUUUCAAAAUUCUUAGUGGUUUGUUCUUGCUGACACUGCAUGGUUUUGUGGGAGGGUACUGGGGAUUAAACUCAGGGAUCCUCCAGCACAAAGCCACAUCCCCAGCCCUAUUUUCCAUUUUAUUUAGAGACAGGGUCUCACUGAGUUUUUUAGCACCUCGCUUUUGCUGAAGCUGACUUUGAACUCUCAAUCCUCCUGUCUCAGCUUCUCCAGCUGCUGGGAUUACAGGCCUGCACCACCGCGCCUGGCUGACAUUACGUUUCUGAGGCCCAAUGUUUGCUGACUCAUUCUGGACCUUCUGAGGCGGUGAACAGGGAGGGGUAUUUCUAUGUGUUAAGUAAUAUCUCCAAGGAAUUGAGCAUGGAAUGGCCAAUUACUGAAGAUGCCAUGAUUUAAAUGUCAUGACAGUUUUAUUUUGCUCACAUCUUACAGACAAAAUCUAGAUAUUUCAUUUGAAAGGAGGACAACUGCAGAAGAAAAGCUUUGACUUAGCUACCAACUUGGCAUCAUUACCCUGGAUAUUCUAAGGAGCAUUUACCAGUUAUUAGCUUACUGUACAGAGGUCAGGUUUGGGAAGUUAGAACAGAUGACUUCCAAGUACCAUUACAUUCUGAAAAGUCUUAUGAUCUCAAGAUUGCUAUGGGAUAGGUGAAGAAUUUUAAGGGCACAGAUAACUCAGCAGGUAAGUAAAACUGUAGUGACCCCAAAUGAGAAGAAGAGCUAGCAAAAAUUUGAGCCUUUUUUCACAUGUAGAAUAAGAUGAUGACUUAUUUACCUUACUACUCAUAUUCACCCACAGAAAGUGCCACAAAUAAUCAUUCUAUAGUUUCCCUUAGGUGAUUUCUUUAGACUCUGUGGUGGAGAGUCGAUAUAAUAUUAGAGUCCAUCCCGGUUUUAUGGAGAAUUAUGUACUACAUGAUUAUAAUGCUUUAAAUUCAGAUUAACAAACAUGUAAUCAAAGACUUGUAGGAGAUAGCUGUUGUAAAAGACAGCUCACUUAUUUUAUUCUUCUCAUUUUAAUGCUUAUUUGGAAUUUGGUUGAAAUCUGUCUUUUACACUGUGUUUUUCAAUCCGAUUAAAAUAAUCAGUGAUCAUAUUUCUUUGAAGCUAAACACUAUUACUGCCUAUGAACUAUGAAACCAUUAAAAGCAAGAGUACUGAAUGAAAAUUUCUCCAUUAAAAUUGUUUGGUUAUAAGUAAGUGAGAGAACAAUAUAUAUUAUAGUAAAAGGUCAGAAAUAAAACAUUAGCAUUAUUAACUUUCACCUUAAACACUUGGCACCCUUCAAAAGUCCUGCAGGGUAUUUUUUUUUUUAACCCGAGUUUGGGUUCUUUGCACGCUAGAAAACAUGCAGGGCUGCUGCUGCAGAUUGGAAAAAGAGCUUGAGGUCAGAGGUCGACACAGUGAGGGAGUUUGCUCUUUAAGAGGUUAUCUGUGGAUCUGCAAAGCCAAAGUGUAAUUGGGUUUUGUGAUGUGAUUUUAGUGAGUAAUUGUAUAUGAUCUUAGAUAGUUUCAAAGACAAGCUUGGAAGAUUUUUCCGGGCUGUUUGUGAUAGCAAUUUUAGGGAUUGUGUGCAAUCUUGGAUAGACAAUUCAGAAUGAUCAAAAAUAGCCAUCAGAAGUGAUAAUGGCAAGUUACUUUAUGUGCCUUAAUUCUAUUUUCAGAGCAUUGAUUCAAAUAUAAUGUAAUGGAAUGUGUUCCUUCUCUUUAGGACAUUACAUUGCUUAGGAAAAUGAAGAUACUUAGUUUUCAUGGCUGGUAUCAGUCUGUCAAUUUUAUGUCAUCAUAAUGAUGGCUUUCAGUUUCUCUGAGUUUGAACUUCAGUUGCAGAUUGCUGAAUGCUUAUAUAGAAAGAAAAAGGAAGUUAAAACAUUCCAAUUGGUUGUUGAAUGUGGACCUUUUUUUAGCCUCUUAAUUUGUCAAGUUUCUGAUUCCUGAAUAUUCUAAACAAUGAGAAAUAAACAUUUCCUUAUUGUUUUAGUUGUUUAGGGUUGCCUUGAUUAAGCUGUCACUGCUGUCAGUUAUGUUCUUAUAAGCCUGGUUGGAUCUAUUUCAUGUUAGGAAAAAGCUCAGAUAAAUCCAGGAAAGCUUAAUGUUUAUCCAAUGUGAAAAUAAUUACUCAAAAGUGUUAUUCUUAAUCCAGAUAAUUAGAGUGAGGAAGGAAAGAUCAGUGUCAUUGUGAAUUAUGCCCUGGCAAUUGACUCUUGGUCCUUGUAAGUUUCAGGUGAAGAUGUGAAUGGAUAAAGGUUAGAUUAAACAUAAUCCAAAGUAGCUGCAACCUUAAUCUGUUAUGAUACAAGGAUGAUCACUUAAAAAGAGCUGGAUUGUGGGAUUGUUUCUGGUUGGAUAAGAUGCCGCUCGACUGGGACUAGUCUUAAAACAUGCUUAGCACCAUGUCACUGCAGCUGCAAGCACUUGUGCACGGCUGCAGCCUGCCACCACCACAGGCGCUCCUGGACUCCAGCUUUGUGUUGGCGUGUCACACUUCCAUGAUAUCUGGGCUUCACAUUAACAUGCCUUGCAAUGGUCUGUAUGGAAAAAAAUAUUUCCUGUGACCUUGUGGCAUCUCUUCUGGGUUGUAAUAAGCAUGGAUUUGAAAUCUGCUAAAACUCCAGCAUAGAGUAAGCAGCCAUUUGUUACCUUAAACAAUUAGAAGGUACAUUUGUAACUGAGCUUAAUGUUGCUCUGAUUCAACAGAGAAACUUGUUUUAAAUGUGAUUAUUUUGAGUAGCAUGCAAUGUUUGCAGAACUAAUUAUCUGUCAAGUAUUUUCAAAAUCAAAUUAGGUUUUUCUAAAUAUUUCUGUGGAGUUAAAAGUGAAAAGAGUAUGAAUAAUGAGAUCCCCAAAUAGUAGAAUCUCAAAAUUCAGCCAUAUUUUAAUUAAAAGGAAGAAAUAUUGGGAGUUCCAUUUAUUCUCACAAUAAAUUUCGUAAAUUUAGCAUGCUUAAUUUCUGCAUGGCAGAGCUGGUUUGCUUUGAUUACAGAAAAUGGAACCAAAAAUAUUUUAGCAAUUAUGCGUGAAACCUUAUUGUUUUAACAGAAAGCAGUGCGAUUUCAUGACAAGUGAAUUUUAAUUAAAAUUUGAACAUGUAGGGCUGGGGUUGUUGCUAAGUGGUAGAACACUUGCCUGGCAUGCAUGAGGGACUGGGUUUGAUUCUCGGUAUCAGAUACAAAUAAAUAAAUAGCAUAAAGGUACAUCAAUAACUAAAAAAAUUUUAAAAACAGAAAAGAAAGAAAGAAUUUGAACAUUUAAUCAAUUAUUAUGGUUGUUUAUUCCUCCACAAUAAAAUUAUAUUACAACAUAUUACAUAUCGUUGCUGAAUAUUAAAGAAAAUAACUAGUGGAAUGUAAAGCUAAUAAGUCCAAUGCUCUUUAACACAUGUUUAGUUUUCUUUGGAAUAUUGGAAUAUUCAAAGUCAUAAAAUAUUAGAUUAAAUAUUUUAAUAAAGCAUAUUUUAAAAACACCACUGAAAUAGAUCAAUAUUUCAAUAUAUUUUUAACCAGAAUCCAAAUUUAUUCUAAUACUGUCCUUGGAUAAAUAUAUAACAUCACAUGCUAUAAAUAUAACAGAUGUGUUUCCAGUUACAUUACAUUAAUUGCUUCCAUAUGUACUUGUGAAAAAUUUGUUUUUCAAAGGCCAUAAACAUUUGUUGAGCAUUCACCACCCAUAUUUAGGCACUUGCUCCAUAUUUUCACAAAUAUUUAAUGUCCCUAAUUUAUGCAACUGAUGUGUUACCAAGGGACGAUUGUUGCCAGACAGUGGUACAGGGGCUAUGGAUAUGCAAUGAUCUAAACAAAGUCUCUGCUCUUACAAAGUUUAAAUUCUUAUGUUUAGAGAGAAAAUAUAAAAAGGAAAUGUACAAGAGCUUAGCAAAUGCAAUGAAGAAAAAAGUAAGGUUAGGAAUUUAGAAACAGGGCCUGGUGGAUUAGGAUUUAAGAUGAGGUUAGGGAGAGCCUCAUAGAGAAGGCAAGAUUUAUGUCAAUGGGAUAUAUGGUGCCCUUGGUUUAGGGGGACUAGCUUCAGCAUAAUUACUUUUGCCAAACAGAACAAUUUCCAGGUGUAUUGUUUUUAGAUAUUCAAAACAAAAUUAUCAUUUCAAGACUUUUUAAAUAAGUCUGACUAAAGUACUAGUUUCCCUAUAUUUGAAAAGUAUUCAAAUUGAACAAUCUUUUUUUUUUUUUUAAAGAGAGAGAGAGAGAAUUUUAAUAUUUUAUUUUUUAGUUUUCGGCAGACACAACAUCUUUGUUUGUAUGUGGUGCUGAGGAUCGAACCCAGGCCGCACACAUGCCAGAGCUUUUGCCUAUUCAUGGGCUCAGCCCAAUACCUCAUCGUGUGGAUAUCGUGACUUUAACACGUGCCUUCCCUGCUAAACUAUGUGUAACAUGAAGACAAGGACAAUCUCCGCCUUGCUCAUCCAUCUCUUUGUAGUACCUUAUCCAAGUCCUGAAGCAUCUCAGGAACAAAAUAUUUCUGUUAAUUGAAUGAGUGGAAGAAGCUCCAGGCAUUCAAAACAGUGUUUGCCACCUGCCCUGUGAGGACACAGCCACAAAAUCCCAUCCUGGAAGCAGAAAGUGAGCCUUCCUCCAACACCAAACCUGCUGAUGCCUUGAUCUUGGAUCUCCUGGCCUCCAAAUGGAAAUGAGGGCAAAAUAGAAGACCAUCUUCCUUAUGCACCCUGGGUCAUUUCCUGAAGAUUUUUGAAUUGGACACAAAAGGCAGGAUUUUAACAGAGGUGGAAUGCAGCACAUGUGGAAAAGGUUGGACCCACGACCUUUAAUUCUUUUGACCAAGAAGGUGCGAGAUAAGUCUUCUAUCAAGAAGUUGCAGUCGGGGCCAUUAUGAUUAAUGGUAUUGCAUUAAAUGAAAUUAGACACUUGAAGCCCUUGAGUUGUCUGUAUAUAUGGACACAGCUGGACCAAGUCCUGAUUUACAAGAACCACAAUGGCACAAAGGACAGAAGGUAUAGGAGUAUGAUCCACGAGGGACACUGAGAAAAUGCCAUGUUUACUGGGUUCAGUCUGCCAACACUGACAUCACUAAAGCAUCACAAAGCAAGCAAGACUAUCAUUACUAUCAAAAUGAAAUUGUAAAUCAGAUGGAUAUAUUAACUACAGUUUUCAAGAAAAAGUACAAUAAAGAAGAAUGAUCAAGAGAGAAAUGCUUAUAAUUCCAAGGACACACUUCAUCAGACACUGCAAAUAUUACAGCAGAAUGAAUUGACAUCAUGUUCUCGGCUGACACAACAUCUUUGUUUGUACGUGGUGCUGAGGAUCGAACCCGGGCCGCACGCAUGCCAGGCGAGCGCGCUACCGCUUGAGCCACAUCCCCAGCCCCAAUUGCAUGUAUUUUAAUUAAUUUAUAUACAUAUAUGAAUAUGGUAUGAUGAAUCCCACUAAUAUGUAUAAUGAUAUUGCACCAAUAAAAUUUAAAUAUAUACAUAAUAUUAAAUAUUGAAUUCAUUAUUAUAUAGGUCACUUUUGAGUAUAAUAAAUGUCAUUUUUUACAUUUUUCUCCUAAAUCAUGUAUUUCCAUGUGGGAACUUACAAUUGGCAAAAAAAAGUUACUCUGUCACCAAAAGCUUCAACACUUUUAUUCCAUUAUUUUCUUUUUCAUUUAGCCUACUGCUAUGUUUUAUUUUCCUUGCAAGAUAAUUAUAACUUGUACAUUAUAUGUAUGUUCAAACUAUGAAAUCACAUUUUCUUCAUUCAUAAAGACUUACAUUAAAAUAAAACUGUCUAGUCUA